Molecule: non-coding RNA, 259 nt
Organism: Paramuricea clavata
Lineage: Eukaryota; Metazoa; Cnidaria; Anthozoa; Malacalcyonacea; Plexauridae
Source: the annotation of a GenBank genome assembly
GCACGCAAUAUGCUCGUACAAAGGCUUAGUUGAAGAAACGCAUUCGUCAAAAAUAUUACACAAAAGCUUCUGAAAUACUCUGGUAAGUAUACAAAUUUUAUAUUUGAACUUUUUUAUCUUUAUGUUGUGAUGAAAUUGCCUUUGCACAUUUCAGUAUGCCUAGGCAACUGGCAAAUUUAAGUAGCUUAGCAGUCCAUGCAAGAGUGUUGUAUUUUUAAAACCGAAACGACGCGAUGUCCCGUUUAAUCAUGUUUGAAAC